AUGAGCCGAUGUCCGAUUAGCUAGUUGGCGGGGUAAUGGCCCACCAAGGCGACGAUCGGUAGCUGGUCUGAGAGGAUGAUCAGCCACACUGGAACUGAGACACGGUCCAGACUCCUACGGGAGGCAGCAGUGGGGAAUAUUGGACAAUGGGCGCAAGCCUGAUCCAGCCAUGCCGCGUGGGUGAAGAAGGCCUUCGGGUUGUAAAAGCGCCUGUUUGUCCGGAAAGAAAAGCACUGGAUUAAUACUUCGGUGUUCUGACGGUACCGGAAGAAUAAGCACCGGCUAACUUCGUGCCAGCAGCCGCGGUAAUACGAAGGGUGCAAGCGUUACUCGGAAUUACUGGGCGUAAAGCGUGCGUAGGUGGUUCGUUAAGUCUGAUGUGAAAGCCCUGGGCUCAACCUGGGAAUUGCAUUGGAUACUGGCGGGCUAGAGUGCGGUAGAGGAUGGCGGAAUUCCCGGUGUAGCAGUGAAAUGCGUAGAGAUCGGGAGGAACAUCUGUGGCGAAGGCGGCCAUCUGGAC
Molecule: ribosomal RNA, 520 nt
Filed under: uncultured Pseudomonadota bacterium
Lineage: Bacteria; Pseudomonadati; Pseudomonadota
Description: bacterial SSU rRNA
Rfam family: Bacterial small subunit ribosomal RNA
Source: RNAcentral